CCCGCUGAACUUAAGCAUAUCAAUAAGCGGAGGAAAAGAAACUAACAAGGAUUCCCCUAGUAACUGCGAGUGAAGCGGGAAAAGCUCAAAUUUUAAAUCUGGUGGCCCCGCCGCCCGAGUUGUAUUCUGGAGAAGCGUCUUCCGCGCCGGACCGUGUACAAGUGCCUUGGAACAGGACGUCACAGAGGGUGAGAAUCCCGUCUUUGACACGGACCCCCGGCGCUCUGCGAUGCGCUCUCGAAGAGUCGAGUUGUUUGGGAAUGCAGCUCAAAACGGGUGGUAAAUUCCAUCUAAAGCUAAAUAUUGGCGAGAGACCGAUAGCGAACAAGUACCGUGAGGGAAAGAUGAAAAGCACUUUGGAAAGAGAGUAAAACAGUACGUGAAAUUGUUGAAAGGGAAACGCUUGAUGUCAGUCACGUUGGCUAGGGAUCAACCUUGCUUCUCGCUGGGUGUAUUUCCUAGUGGACGGGUCAGCAUCAGUUUCGGUCGCUGUACAAGGGCAAAGGGAACGUGGCACUCCUUGGAGUGUGUUAUAGCCUUUCGUCGUAUGCAGUGGUUGGGACUCAGGAACUCGGCACGAAAUCUAUUUUGUGCUUAGGAUGCUGGCAUAAUGGCCUUAAGCGACCCGUCUUGAAACACGG
RNAcentral lists this ribosomal RNA (641 nucleotides) under uncultured fungus. Its description in RNAcentral is "eukaryotic LSU rRNA". It matches the Rfam family "Eukaryotic large subunit ribosomal RNA", at positions 24 to 664 of the family's 3401-position model. Lineage: Eukaryota; Fungi. The record is from RNAcentral.